Molecule: ribosomal RNA, 168 nt
Filed under: uncultured bacterium
Lineage: Bacteria
Description: partial 16S rRNA
Rfam family: Bacterial small subunit ribosomal RNA
Source: RNAcentral
CAGGUAGGGAAUCUUCCACAAUGGGCGAAAGCCUGAUGGAGCAACGCCGCGUGUGUGAUGGAGGGUUUCGGCUCGUAAAACACUGUUGUAAGAGAAGAAUGACAUUGAGAGUAACUGUUCAAUGUGUGACGGUAUCUUACCAGAAAGGAACGGCUAAAUACGUGCCAG